Molecule: ribosomal RNA, 1235 nt
Filed under: Durio zibethinus
Lineage: Eukaryota; Viridiplantae; Streptophyta; Magnoliopsida; Malvales; Malvaceae
Description: SSU rRNA
Rfam family: Eukaryotic small subunit ribosomal RNA
Source: RNAcentral
UGGUGCUAGCAGCCACAGUAAUUAUAGCUCUAAUAGCAUAUAUUUAAGUUGUUGCAGUUAAAAAGCUCAUAGUUGGAAAUAGGGUUGGAUCAUCCAAUCUACCUCAUAAUUAGCACCGAUCUACUCGUCCCUACUACUGACGAUGUACUUUUCACCUUAAUUGACUAUGUUGUUCCUACAGUACUAUUACUUUGAAGAAAUUAAAGUGCUUAAAGCAACUUGCAAUUGUAUACAUUAGCAUGGGAUAACAUCAUAGAAUUUCGGUCCUAUUGUGUUAGCCUUUAAGAUUGGAGUAAUGAUUAAUAAGGACAGUUGGAGGCAUUUGUAUUUCAUAGUUAGAGGUGAAAUUCUUGGAUUUAUGCAAGAUAAACAACUGCAAAAGCAUUUGCCAAGGAUGUUUUCAUUAACCAAGAAUAAAAGUUGAGGGCUCAAAGAUGAUCCGAUACCAUCCUAGUCUCAACCAUAAAUGAUGCCUAUCAAGGAUUAACAAAUGUUACUUUUAGGACUCUAUCAGCAUUUUAUGAGAAAUCAAAGUUUUUGGGUUCUAGGGGGAGAAUGGUCACAAGGUCGAAACUUAAAAGAAUUGAUGGAAAGGCACCACUAGGAGUGGAGCUUGUAGCUUAAUUUGACUCAACAUGGGAAAAUUUACUAGGUCCAAACAUAGUAAGGAUUGACAAACUAAAAGCUCUUUCUUGAUUUUAUGGGUGGUGGUGCAUGGCUGUUCUUAGUUGGUGGAGCAAUUUGUCUGGUUAAUUCUAUUUAUGAAAAAGACCUCAGCCUAUUAACUAGCUAUGCGGAGGUGAUCCUUCAUGGCUAGCUUCUUAGAUGGACUAUGGCUGCUUAGGCCAAGGAAGUUUAGGGGAAUAAUACGUCUAUGAUGCCCUUCAAUGUUCUAGGCUGCACGUGCGCUACACUAAUGUAUUCAAUGAGUCUAUAGCCUUGGCUGACAAGCUUGGGUAAUCUUUGAAAUUUCAUUAUGAUUGGGAUAGAUCAUUGCAAUUGUUGGUCUUCAAUAAGGAAUUCUUAGUAAGUGCAAGUCAUUAGCUUGUGAACUAUGUCCUUACCCUUUGUACACACCACCCAUCGUUCCUACUAAUUGAAUGGUCCAAUAAAGUGUUUAGAUCACAGUGAUGUGAAUGGUUUAUUACCUGUAAUGUCACGAGAAGUUCACUGAACCUUAUCAUUUAAAGGAAACACAAGUCAUAACAAGGUUUCCAUAGGUGAACCUGUAGAAG